AGGGUGUAUGGGGGAUGUCUAGGCGUCGAGAGGCGAUGAAGGACGUGGUAGGCUGCGAUAAGCCCGGGGCAGGUGCCGAACAACCGUUUAUCCCGGGAUGUCCGAAUGGGGCAACCCGCCGUCACUGGGCAACCAGAUGGCGGCAUCUCCGGCUGAAUGCAUAGGCCGGAUGAAGCGAACGCAGGGAACUGAAACAUCUAAGUACCUGCAGGAAAGGAAAUCAACCGAGACUCCGUCAGUAGCGGCGAGCGAAAGCGGAAGAGCCCAAACCAGGGGGCUUGCUCCCUGGGGUUGCGGGCGCCGACACACGCCGUGUGAUGAUUAGCGGAACGGUCUGGAAAGUCCGACCAUAGACGGUGAAAGUCCCGUACGCGAAAAUCUGAUCACGGUGUCGGCGUACCAGAGUAGCACGGAGCUCGUGGAACUCCGUGUGAAGCUGGGGGGCCCACCCUCCAAGGCUAAGUACUACUCGACGACCGAUAGUGGAAAGUAGGGCGACUGAACGAUGAAAAGUACCCCUAUUAGGGGAGUUAAAAGUACCUGAAACCAUACACCUACAAGCGGUAGGAGCCCUAUGCCCGCCUUCGGGCGGGAACGGGUGACUACGUGCCUUUUGCAUAAUGAGCCGGCGAGUUACCGUUUGCGGCAAGGUUAAGCACCUCAGGUGCGUAGCCGUAGCGAAAGCGAGUCUGAACAGGGCGAAUUCAGUCGCAGGUGGUAGACGCGAAGCCAGGUGAUCUACCCAUGGCCAGGUUGAAGGGGAUGUAAAAGUCCCUGGAGGACCGAACUCACUAGCGUUGAAAAGCUAGGGGAUGAGCUGUGGGGAGGAGUAAAAGUCUAAUCAAACCUGGAGAUAUCUCGUUCUCUCCGAAAUAGCUUUUGGGCUAGCCUCGAGUGAUACUUCACGGGGGUAGAGCUACUGAAUGGGGAUGGGGGGCCACCAGCCUACCCACCCCAACCAAACUCCGAAUACCGUGAAGCGUAUCUCGGGAGUCAGACUGCGGGGGAUAACCUUCGUAGUCAAGAGGGAAACAACCCAGAUCGCCAGCUAAGGUCCCAGAGUCUUGCUAAGUUCAUAAGGAAGUCGGAUUGCAGUGACAGCCAGGAUGUUGGCUUAGAAGCAGCCACCAUUUAAAAAGUGCGUAAUAGCUUACUGGUCGAGCAGUUUGGCGCCGAUAAUGAACGGGAAUAAGCAAGACACCGAAGCUGCGGGCUUGUGCCUCGGUUCGCCGGGGCGCGAGCGGUAGGAGAGCGUUGCUGACCGCGUCGAAGCCGUACGGAAACGAGCGGUGGAGCGUCAGCAAGUGAUUAUGCCGGCAUGAGUAACGAUAAAGCAGGUGAGAAUCCUGCUCGCCGAAAGCCUAAGGUUUCCUGGGGAAGGUAAAUCCGCCCAGGGUUAGUCGGACCCUUAGUCGAGGCUGAAAGGCGUAGACGAUGGACAGCAGGUUAAUAUUCCUGCACUACGUACCGAAGGUUUGGACUCUGGGGGUGACGCGGUGUUCAAGGCUGGAAGCUGAUUAGUCGUGGCUAUUGUGCCCGAGGUGUCGCCGGUAGGCAAAUCCGCCGGCGCCAAGACACCGAGGGACCGCGAGGGCCGAUUUGAUGCCCGAGCAGCCGGAUACACCGCCGAGAAAAACCUCAAAGAGGACGACGGUGCGUAUCCGUACUAAAACUGACACAGGUAGGCGAGGAGAAUAUCCUAAGGCGCUCGAGAGAACGGUCUUUAAGGAACUAGGCAAUUUGACCCCGUAAGUUCGCGAUAAGGGGUCCCUCCAGACGUGCUUAUUUUCGAGUGAGCACGUGCUGAGGGCGCAGUGAAGUGGCUCUGGCGACUGUUUAUCAAAAACACAGUUCUCUGCCAACACAUAAAGUGGAUGUAUAGAGAAUGACGCCUGCUCGGUGCCGGAAGGUUAAGAGGAUGGGUUAUCCCUUCGGGGAGAAGCUCCUAAUUGAAGCCCCGGUAAACGGCGGCCGUAACUAUGACGGUCCUAAGGUAGCGAAGUUCCUUGUCGGGUAAGUUCCGACGUGCAUGAACGGCGUAACGACUGGAGCACUGUCUCAAAGACCGACUCGGUGAAAUUGUAGACGUGGUGAAGAUACCACGUACCCGCGGCAAGACGGAAAGACCCCAUGAACCUUUACUGUAUCCUGAUAUUGAUGCCUGGCAUAUCUUGCGUAGGAUAGGUGGGAGGCGAUGAAGCGCCGAUUCCGGUCGGUGUGGAGCCAACCUUGAAAUACCACCCUUGCUAUGUUAGUCACCUAACCGCGUCCCGUGAAUCCGGGCGUGGGACCGUGUCAGGUGGGCAGUUUGACUGGGGCGGUCUCCUCCUAAAGUGUAACGGAGGAGUUCAAAGGUACACUCAGCGUGGUUGGCAAUCACGUGUAGAGGGCAAGGCUACAAGUGUGCUUGACUGCGAGACUUAUCGGUCGAGCAGAUGCGAAAGCAGGACCUAGUGAUCCGGUGGUACCGGGUGGAAGGGCCAUCGCUCAUCAGAUAAAAGGUACUCUGGGGAUAACAGGCUUAUCUCCCCCGAGCGUUCAUAGCGGCGGGGAGGUUUGGCACAUCGAUGUCGGCUCAUCACAUCCUGGGGCUGAAGGCGGUCCCAAGGGUUGGGCUGUUCGCCCAUUAAAGUGGUACGCGAGCUGGGUUCAGACCGGCGUGAGCCAGGUCGGUCCCUAUCUGCCGUGGGCGCAGGAAUCUUGAGGAGAGGUUUCCCUAGUACGAGAGGACUGGGAAGCACUGACCUCUGGUGUACCGGUUGUCGCGCUAGCGGCACGGCCGGGUAGCUAUGUCGGGAAAGGAUAACCGCUGAAAGCAUCUAAGCGGGAAGCCCACUCCAAGAUGAGGAUUCCGUUCGACUUCGGUCGAUGAAGAGCCCUGGAAGACGACCAGGUUGAUAGGCCGGGUGUGUAAGCGGCGAAAUCCGUUCAGCUUACCGGUACUAACGCUCGACGACUUGACC
Molecule: ribosomal RNA, 2963 nt
Filed under: sediment metagenome
Description: bacterial LSU rRNA
Rfam family: Bacterial large subunit ribosomal RNA
Source: RNAcentral